This 319-nucleotide ribosomal RNA is filed under the name uncultured Prevotella sp. RNAcentral describes it as "partial 16S ribosomal RNA". The record is from RNAcentral. Lineage: Bacteria; Pseudomonadati; Bacteroidota; Bacteroidia; Bacteroidales; Prevotellaceae.
GGAGUCUGGUCCGUGUCUCAGUACCAGUGUGGGGGACCUUCCUCUCAGAACCCCUACCGAUCGUAGCCACGGUGGGCCGUUACCCCGCCGUCAAGCUAAUCGGACGCAUCCCCAUCCCAUGGCGUCAAACUUUAGUGCUCCUCAGAUGUCCUCAAAGCACAACAUAGGGUGUUAAUCCGCAUUUCUACGGGCUAUGCCCUACCAGGGGGAAGGUUGGAUACGCGUUACUCACCCGUGCGCCGGUCGCCAUCACAGAUAGCAAGCUACCUGCAUGCUGCCCCUCGACUUGCAUGUGUUAAGCCUGUAGCUAGCGUUCAUC